This 342-nucleotide ribosomal RNA is filed under the name Triticum aestivum (bread wheat). Its description in RNAcentral is "partial small subunit ribosomal RNA". The record is from RNAcentral. Lineage: Eukaryota; Viridiplantae; Streptophyta; Magnoliopsida; Poales; Poaceae.
AUGGGGUUACCACCACUCAUAUGUCACUUCCUAUCAACUUCUUUUGUACCUGGCCCGAGUGGAGAUCCAGAGCACAUGUGUUCACCUCAUACACCUGAUUCCAGUUGGUCUCUUCUCAAACUGGGUUUCCCACAUUCAACGGUAAUAGUCGUCAAUUCUGGGGGAAGGAAUGUGAGAUAUACUUUAUUGUGUAUGGCUUUCAGCCUGAUCUUUGGGUUUGAAUUGCCAUCGUUCACUUCGUUGGUAACAUGGCUCGAUCGCUACAACUUCGUGAAUCAAAGAGUCGCGAGUUCACUUAGGAGGCCAUGUGCGCGGCUCUCCGCAACAAUUUUUUACCAUUAG